This 1315-nucleotide long non-coding RNA is filed under the name Coturnix japonica (Japanese quail). RNAcentral's name for it is "lncRNA (ENSCJPG00005016055.1)". Lineage: Eukaryota; Metazoa; Chordata; Aves; Galliformes; Phasianidae. The record is from RNAcentral.
UUAAAAUGCAGACAAAGUUUAAAAAGCAAUAGAAGAGAGUUGCAGAAAAUCCAGAUUAAUAGUUAAAAGUUGAAAUAGUUUAUCCUCUUACACAGGGGUAUUAAUUACAAAGAGCAUCCUCAGUCUCAUUUGCAGAGUUUCCCUUUCACUAUCUGGAACUGAAGCAGUAGAUUAAUGAGAGAGGCUGGGAAGGUGCCACCUUGUAAGGAGCUGCAUGGAAAUGAACCACUUAAAAUGCACAAACAAGUUUUAUUGCAACUGCCAAACCUAGGAACCAUGUAACAUCCUACUAUAGAAUAUACUGUAACUAAUGACAUCAACUAUUUACACACAUUUAUUGUGUUGUUGUGUUUUGUUUUCAGAUCUCCAUAUAUAGGUGAACAUUUUGAAUUUUUUGCUAAAGAUUUCCAAAUUAACAUCUAAAGGAUUUUUUAUUUUCCUUUAUGUAUUCUCUCUGGGUUAUAUCGGUGCUACAGGGCUACUCAGCCCAUGCUGUAGCGAUUCCUGCUUAGAUGUUAUUAAUACAGUGCAGGAGAGGAUGGUAGAUACGAGUCUUGUAGAAAUGAAGCUAAUGCUGAGACUCACUGUUUUCAUUUCCCUGUGCUUUUGCAUUUAGAUUUCAUAGCACUGAAAGUCUUGGUGGGCAUAGUGUGGAUGGCUUGAUGGUGGAAAUGGAAGAUCUUGGUGGUCUUUUCCAACCUUUAUGAUUCUUUGUGAUUCCUGAGAGGAAAAAACACCAUUCCUGUUCACAGUGAAGGAGCCACAGUCCACCACCUCCAGGGUCAAGGCUUUGCCACCACCGCAGGGCAUGGAGUGCCAUAAGUAGUGCUGAAUGGAGCAAGGAGGAGGAGAUGGCCGCACACAUAGCAUGGAAGCUUUGACUAAUGAUUGCUGCCAUAUGCUGCAUGUCACAGGUGAGUAUUUUACUGCCUUAAAAUUUGACAAUUCUGUAUCCAGCUUAAUAGUUCUGUCAUCUCAGCGUUGCCAUUAGCACUGAAUUACAACAGAGGAUAUUUAAACAUUGGAUUAGGGUGUCAAAUAUUUGUUAAAUAACAAGGGUAGACAUUAUAAAAAGAGUCAGUGAUACUUUAAAAACAUCAGUCAGUCAACAAAGGUAUAAAAAUUGGCUCGGUGACUAAACAAAGUUUGCUCGAUGUUUAUUUGUUAUACUGCAGUUUUAGGCAUCUAUCUUGCUGUGGAUUUUAUGCAUAAUACACACACACUGGCCAAAUUCCUGUCAGUUGAGAAAGUCACAUAGAGAAUAUAUUUAAUGGCCAGUCUGAAGUUUACAGAAAGAGGAAAAUUAAUAGAUCUG